GUGCAAGUGGGAGGGGGCUGAGGAGGAGGGGGAGGUUGUCUGGGCUGCCAGACAGGCCCGGGUCAGCGCCGGGGGCAGGGGAUGUCUGGCGGAGGAGAGGCCCAGCGUCCAGGCUCCCUUGGGGACCCGGGAUUCCAGGCCUCAGCCCCCUCCUCCCUCAGACCUGGGAGUCCACCACCCUGCCCCUUCCCGAAUUCCAGAAUCCGAACCCCUAGCCAACGCUUCCCAGGACCCAGGAGUCCACCCCCACUCCGCCUUCUGCGCUCAGACCUAGGAGUCCACACCGUAACCCCCACCCACUUUGGAAACCCUAGUUCAGAACCCCAGCCCCUCCUCCCUAGGAACGGACCCCAAACCCCUCCUCCUCUAGAACCCAGAGUCCAGAUCCCCAGGAUCUAGCAGCCGGGAUUGGGGUAGGGGGUGUGGGGGUCCUGCCCCGGAACCUAGGGGUCCCCACCUCCUCCCUCGCCCCAGCUGGAGUCCAGCCCUCCAGGGGUUAAGGGGGCGGGGCCAUCCGGUUGCUAUGGUGCCAGACUGUUUGGGUCUGCUCUCUGACCCUUGGGGGCUCCCCAGGGUCCGCGAAGAGGGGGAGGGGGACCCAGGCCUGGGGAUGUACAGUGCCGACCCCUUCCCCGAGCGGGCCUGCGGACCUAGGGAGCUCCUCUACGCCUCGCCCGGUGACCUUGAACGAGCCCUGACCCUUGUCCCCGGGCCUCAGUUUCCCGGGAGAGCCCGGCGGGGAGUGGGGGCGAUGCCCGGGUCCCAGGAAUCUCUGGGACGCGCUUCCCGGCUCCCCUCACCCCCUCCCCAGGCCCCAGGCAGCCCCGGGGCAUGCCGGGAGCCGGCCGGGCGGCGGGCCAGGUUGGCUGGGGGGGGGGGCGCCUCCCUUCCCCUUCCUCCCCACCUUGGCCUGACUCUCGCCCCCGCGGAGGGUCGGGGAGGCCGGGAAGGAGGGAAGGGGGAAGGAGCCGGACCGCAGGCCGCCCCCGCCUCCCUUCCUCCUCCGCCCCUUCCCGCCCUCCGCCCUCCUCGGCAGGUCGCUCCCCAGCCCGGGCCCCUUCCCACCCCCACCCCACCCCCAGCUCCAGACCUGGCUCCGAGCGCGAGGGGGAGGGAGGGAGG
This 1122-nucleotide long non-coding RNA is filed under the name Marmota monax (woodchuck). Lineage: Eukaryota; Metazoa; Chordata; Mammalia; Rodentia; Sciuridae. The record is from RNAcentral.